This 463-nucleotide ribosomal RNA is filed under the name uncultured bacterium. RNAcentral's name for it is "partial 16S ribosomal RNA". It matches the Rfam family "Bacterial small subunit ribosomal RNA", at positions 28 to 507 of the family's 1533-position model. The record is from RNAcentral.
GACGAACGCUGGCGGCGUGCUUAACACAUGCGAGUCGAACGGAAAGGCCUUUUCGGAGGUACUCGAGUGGCGAACGGGUGAGUAACACGUGGGGGAUCUGCCCUGCACGCUGGGAUAAGCCGGGGAAACUGGGUCUAAUACCGGAUAGGACCGCACUUUAGGGUGUGUGGUGGAAAGUUUUUUCGGUGUAGGAUGAGCCCGCGGCCUAUCAGCUUGUUGGUGGGGUAAUGGCCUACCAAGGCGGCGACGGGUAGCCGGACUGAGAGGUUGGUCGGCCACAUUGGGACUGAGAUACGGCCCAGACUCCUACGCGAGGCAGCAGUGGGGAAUAAUGCACAAUGGGCGCAAGCCUGAUGCAGCGACGCCGCGGGGGGGAUGACGGCCUUCGGGUUGUAAACUCCUUUCGCCAGGGACGAAGCGUUUUGUGACGGUACCUGGAGAAGAAGCCCCGGCUAACUACGUG